Molecule: ribosomal RNA, 317 nt
Filed under: uncultured eukaryote
Lineage: Eukaryota
Description: partial 18S ribosomal RNA
Rfam family: Eukaryotic small subunit ribosomal RNA
Source: RNAcentral
CCCUUAGAUGUUCUGGGCCGCACGCGCGCUACACUGAUCAGUGCAACAAGCAUCCGUCCUUGGCCGACAGGCCCGGGCAAUCUUUGAACGCUGAUCGUGAUGGGGAUAGACUUUUGCAAUUUUUGGUCUUCAACGAGGAAUUCCUAGUAAACGCAAGUCAUCAACUUGCAUUGAUUACGUCCCUGCCCUUUGUACACACCGCCCGUCGCACCUACCGAUUGAAUGGUCCGGUGAAGCCUCCGGAUUGGCGUGCACCCUCGGGUGCUGCCGAGAAGUUGGCUAAACCUUACCAUUUAGAGGAAGGUGAGGUCGUAACA